This is a non-coding RNA of Paramuricea clavata, 549 nucleotides long. The record is from the annotation of a GenBank genome assembly. NCBI's taxonomy places the organism in Eukaryota, Metazoa, Cnidaria, Anthozoa, Malacalcyonacea, Plexauridae.
GGUGAUAAUAAAUAAACUCUGGUUUGGAUUAAGUCUGGAAGAUUCAAUAGACCGUCCACGCCUGCAUAAUGCUCUCUAUCCCAAUACAACCUACUACGAGACAAAAUACCAAGUCUCCAAGUCUGUUAGUGACGGUCUCAAGGCGCUUGGACACACUCUGAAAGGUUCGAAUUCGUUUUGCGCAGUACAAGGCGUCUAUAGGGACAAAUCGGGAAAAUUGUAUGCUAAAUCUGAUCCUAGAAAAGGUGGAGUGGCUGUGGUAUUGUGAGCGGAAAACGUCAUGUUUUGGUGUAGAUAUAACCAGUCUGUUCAAACAUAUAUGCAAUAAAUCAUCCUAACUAAGAAAAUUGUAAAUUUUUUAGCCUGGUUUCCAUAUGGUCGUAACGGUCGUAAAGAUUGAGUCAUGACCUUUCUCAUCCGAGACGAAAUACAAGAGAGGUUAAGAUACCCCGGUUUCGGUGUACGGGUACGAGUUGUGUCAUCUUGUUUUACUGAUGUCUGCAAUACGAUCAUACUUUUUCUGUUUUCUUGCAAUAGACAAUGAUAUAA